AGAUCUGAAGGGGUUUCGUUUCAUUCGAACUAUUGGCCGUUGUGAAGGGGUUUCGUUUCACCUCAAACUCAAACGCAAUCGAAGGUAUUCUUUCUUUUUCUUUAUAUCUGAUUUUUUUUAUUUAUUUUUAUGGCAUUUACCUUCUCUCGUUUUCAGAUCUGGUGAAACGAAGAACACCAAAUAUAAAUAAAACUGAAGGGAUUCUUAAGUCUUAACGCGGAUGAAUAGCCAAAGCAAAUGGUCGUACGCCAUUUAGCCACCUUUUAUUUUUAUAUUUAUAUUGGGACUGCAAAAUCACAUUCCUCCUCUGUUUCUCCUUUAUUUGUUGCUCAAAACUAAAGCCUCAAGGAAUCGAAAAAGAAGAAAGGAAAAAAAAUAAAAAAUAAAAAUGCCGCUGAUAUUCACAUGAGACUUACAUAUAACAUAUCCGAAAAGUCACCAAAUUCUAGAAUUCUUUUUGUGUUUGCUGACCAAAGACUCUUCUCCUCUUCAAUUUCUGUGAUUUGGGUUUUAUCAGGAAGAUCUCACAAAAAUGGCAGGUCGUUACGAUCCCAACCCUUUUGAGGAAGAAGAAGUUAAUCCCUUUUCUUUCAAUCCCAGAUCUGGAGAAUUCUUCCUCAAACGCCGAAGUUGAUGACGUGAGAGAUCAAAUAUAGAGACGAUGGUUGAUUAUUUAAUUUUAAUUUAAGCAAAUAUGUAUACAAUUUGUAAUUUGAAGCAAUAAAACGAAUAUAAUUGUUUGUAUACAAUUUGAUUUUAAGGGAAUUCGCACAUUCAACUGAAUGCAAGAAAUCGUGUAUAUAAAUAAGAUUAGUUGAACUCUUACUGUGAUCGUAACCGGUGCCGCUGUUCUUAGUCUCGAUAUGUAAUUUUAUUUGAUUGAUUUUUUGUAAUUUAUGUAUUCUUUUUAUGUAAUUAUUUCUCUUUCUUUAUUUUCUGUAAUUUAUUAUAAUAAAUCUACGAUUUUUUUUUGUGAAGAAAUCAAAAUCUUUAUUGCGUU
Long non-coding RNA from Beta vulgaris subsp. vulgaris (sugar beet), 1000 nucleotides. RefSeq lists it as uncharacterized. The transcript has 3 exons. The record is from RefSeq and is a predicted model, not a curated record. Lineage: Eukaryota; Viridiplantae; Streptophyta; Magnoliopsida; Caryophyllales; Amaranthaceae.